GACGAACGCUGGCGGCGUGCUUAACACAUGCAAGUCGAACGGAAAGGCCUGCUUUCCCUUGUGGAUUGCGGGUACUCGAGUGGCGAACGGGUGAGUAACACGUGAGUGAUCUGCCCCCAACUUGGGUAUAAGCCUGGGAAACUGGGUCUAAUUCCCGAUAGGACUGCAGGGUGGUGCCUGUGGUGGAAAACGAUUUUCUAGUGGUUGGGGAUGAGCUCGCGGCCUAUCAGCUUGUUGGUGGGGUAAUGGCCUACCAAGGCGGCGACGGGUAGCCGGCCUGAGAGGGUGGACGGCCACAUUGGGACUGGGAUACGGCCCAGACUCCUACGGGAGGCAGCAGUGGGGAAUAUGACACAAUGGGCGGAAGCCUGAUGCAGCGACGCCGCGUGGGGGAUGACGGCCUUCGGGUUGUAAACUCCUUUCGACCGCGAGGAAGCCACCUGGUUGGAAGGGUGGUGACGGUAGUGGUAGAAGAAGCACCGGCUAACUACGUG
RNAcentral lists this ribosomal RNA (494 nucleotides) under uncultured bacterium. RNAcentral describes it as "partial 16S ribosomal RNA". It matches the Rfam family "Bacterial small subunit ribosomal RNA", at positions 28 to 507 of the family's 1533-position model. The record is from RNAcentral.